UUCCCCUAGUAACGGCGAGUGAAGAGGGAAAAGCCCAGCACCGAAGCCUGCGGCAGAUUUGCUGUUAGGCAAUGUGGUGUUUGGGUCGGCUCGUGGGAUUGCCACUCCACUCGAAGUCCAGCAUUGAGUAUGGUCACUGGAUUUGGCCCAGAGAGGGUGAAAGGCCCGUACGGGUGGAGGUUCAGACAUGUAAGGCAGUUCACCAGGUCGACCUUAGAGUCGGGUUGUUUGGGAAUGCAGCCCAAAGCGGGUGGUAAACUCCAUCCAAGGCUAAAUACAGACACGAGUCCGAUAGCGAACAAGUACCGUGAGGGAAAGUUGAAAAGUACUCUGAAGAGAGAGUAAACAGUACGUGAAACCGCAUGCAGGUAAACGGGUGGCGUCAAGCUGCAAGCCCAGAGGAUUCAGCCGGUUAGGAUGUUGUGUAUGCGCCUGGCGCAUCUAUCAGUCGGAGUAUGAUUGGAUAGUCCACCAGUAGACGGUGGGCCUGACCGCAAGGUUGGGAUAUGUGUACCGGGUGGGUGCCGGAGCAUGCUAUCCGUCUGAGGACUGUCUAAUCGGUGCACUUUCUCUGUGGUGAACACCACGACCGGUGGUAUUGCCAGUCUGCUGUGUCCAAGUCGUGUUUGGUAGGUCCUUGUGGCCAACUGGAUGCGAUCACAGGCAAAUUUAGUAAACGGCGUAGAGGUGUUUCGGCAUCUCUGCGUGUUAUCGGCUACUAGUUGUCAACGGGCCUGCUCGAUGUUUGUUGUAACUGGCAUCGAGUGGUCUGGUGGGGCAUGGUGGUAAGAAUAACUGUGCAAGGCACCGGAGUUAUCGGCCUCAAAUGCAUUCUACACCCACGUUACAAGUGGUGUUGAUGGUGGUGUUGUUGCUGUCUGCCCGGUGUUGAGUCUGAUUGUCGUGUCGCCUGCACAAAGUAGGCCCGGCAGUGGCUCGACUCGGGAUGGGCAGUGGAUAAUGCUACCGGUGUGGUAUGUGGUGGGCCUAAUAGUCAGUGGUGUAGUGGUAGACGAGCUACCCGACCCGUCUUGAAACACGGACCAAGGAGUUUAACAUGUAUGCGAGUCAAUGGGCCUUACGAAACCCAAAGGCGCAGUGAAAGUAAAGCUUCGACUUGUCUCGAAGUGAGGUGAGAUCCUGCUGUUACUCGCACCAGUCUAAUGUCAGCAUCAGGCUUAAGAGCAGUAGGCGCAUCACCGGCCCGUCCCAUGAUGUGGUCAUUGGAUGUCUGUGGUUGUGGUCAUCUUCAUGGUGGUGGCAAUCAUGGUGCCAGUGCGUCAUCGGGGCGGUGCAUGAGCAUACAUGUUGAGACCCGAAAGAUGGUGAACUAUGCUUGCGUAGGUUGAAGCCAGAGGAAACUCUGGUGGAGGACCGCAGCGAUUCUGACGUGCAAAUCGAUCGUCAAACGUGAGCAUAGGGGCGAAAGACUA
This 1433-nucleotide ribosomal RNA is filed under the name Kapsulotaenia beveridgei. Its description in RNAcentral is "Kapsulotaenia sp. b JB-2020 partial large subunit ribosomal RNA". It matches the Rfam family "Eukaryotic large subunit ribosomal RNA", at positions 75 to 933 of the family's 3401-position model. Lineage: Eukaryota; Metazoa; Platyhelminthes; Cestoda; Proteocephalidea; Proteocephalidae. The record is from RNAcentral.